Molecule: ribosomal RNA, 371 nt
Filed under: uncultured organism
Description: partial 16S ribosomal RNA
Rfam family: Bacterial small subunit ribosomal RNA
Source: RNAcentral
GUAGGUGGCAAGCGUUGUCCGGAAUUAUUGGGCGUAAAGCGCGCGCAGGCGGUUCUUUAAGUCUGAUGUGAAAGCCCACGGGCUCAACCGUGAGGGUCAUUGGAAACUGGAGAACUUGAGUACAGAAGAGGAAAGCGGAAUUCCACGUGUAGCGGUGAAAUGCGUAGAGAUGUGGAGGGACACCAGUGGCGAAGGCGGCUUUCUGGUCUGUAACUGACGCUGAGGCGCGAAAGCGUGGGGAGCAAACAGGAUUAGAUACCCUGGUAGUCCACGCCGUAAACGAUGAGUGCUAAGUGUUAGGGGGUCUCCGCCCCUUAGUGCUGCAGCUAACGCAUUAAGCACUCCGCCUGGGGAGUACGGCCGCAAGGCUA